Molecule: ribosomal RNA, 253 nt
Filed under: uncultured bacterium
Lineage: Bacteria
Description: partial 16S ribosomal RNA
Rfam family: Bacterial small subunit ribosomal RNA
Source: RNAcentral
UACGUAGGGGGCAAGCGUUGUCCGGAUUUAUUGGGCGUAAAGAGCGUGUAGGCGGCCAAGCAGGUCCGCUGUGAAAACUCGAGGCUCAACCUCGAGAUGUCGGCGGAAACCAUCUGGCUAGAGUCCGGAAGAGGAAAGUGGAAUUCCUGGUGUAGCGGUGAAAUGCGCAGAUAUCAGGAAGAACACCAAUGGCGAAAGCAGCUCUCUGGGACGGUACUGACGUUGAGACGCGAAAGCGUGGGGAGCGAACAGG